ACGCUGGCGGCGUGCCUAAUACAUGCAAGUAGAACGCUGAAGAGAGGAGCUUGCUCUUCUUGGAUGAGUUGCGAACGGGUGAGUAACGCGUAGGUAAGCUGCCUGGUAGCGGGGGAUAACUAUUGGAAACGAUAGCUAAUACCGCAUGAAAUUGCUUAUCGCAUGAUAAUUAAUUGAAAGAUGCAAUUGCAUCACUACCAGAUGGACCUGCGUUGUAUUAGCUAGUUGGUGAGGUAACGGCUCACCAAGGCGACGAUACAUAGCCGACCUGAGAGGGUGAUCGGCCACACUGGGACUGAGACACGGCCCAGACUCCUACGGGAGGCAGCAGUAGGGAAUCUUCGGCAAUGGGGGGAACCCUGACCGAGCAACGCCGCGUGAGUGAAGAAGGUUUUUGGAUCGUAAAGCUCUGUUGUAAGAGAAGAACGGGUGUGAGAGUGGAAAGUUCACACUGUGACGGUAUCUUACCAGAAAGGGACGGCUAACUACGUGCCAGCAGCCGCGGUAAUACGUAGGUCCCGAGCGUUGUCCGGAUUUAUUGGGCGUAAAGCGAGCGCAGGCGGUUAGAUAAGUCUGAAGUUAAAGGCUGUGGCUUAACCAUAGUAUGCUUUGGAAACUGUUUAACUUGAGUGCAGAAGGGGAGAGUGGAAUUCCAUGUGUAGCGGUGAAAUGCGUAGAUAUAUGGAGGAACACCGGUGGCGAAAGCGGCUCUCUGGUCUGUAACUGACGCUGAGGCUCGAAAGCGUGGGGAGCAAACAGGAUUAGAUACCCUGGUAGUCCACGCCGUAAACGAUGAGUGCUAGGUGUUAGCCCUUUCCGGGGCUUAGUGCCGCAGCUAACGCAUUAAGCACUCCGCCUGGGGAGUACGACCGCAAGGUUGAAACUCAAAGGAAUUGACGGGGGCCCGCACAAGCGGUGG
This 919-nucleotide ribosomal RNA is filed under the name uncultured bacterium. RNAcentral describes it as "bacterial SSU rRNA". It matches the Rfam family "Bacterial small subunit ribosomal RNA", at positions 33 to 935 of the family's 1533-position model. The record is from RNAcentral.